GUAGCAUCGAUGCCACCAUUAAUGAAUGAAUUGAAAUCGAAUUGUAGUUUUUAGAUUAUGUUUGUUUUUUAUUUGCGGGGUUUUGUUGGAUGAUUGAUGGGGUGCAGAAAGAAUUAGAGUUUAUGGAAAAUGGGAUUGAAGCAAGCAGAAAGAGGCAACUUCUCGAUUUUUUGAGAAUUUUUUGGGUUAUUCAUUUUUGGCAAAAUUUUGGUCAAAUUUGAUUGGAAACGUGUCAAUGAAUAAGAUUCAGCAGCUUUGUUUCUGAUGUAGGCCCAAUUUUGGGCGAAUUCCUUCGUUUAGGC
RNAcentral lists this long non-coding RNA (302 nucleotides) under Olea europaea (common olive). RNAcentral's name for it is "long non-coding RNA (OEUR_LNC010057)". The record is from RNAcentral. Lineage: Eukaryota; Viridiplantae; Streptophyta; Magnoliopsida; Lamiales; Oleaceae.